GGGUGACGUCAGCGAAGGGGGCGGGCCGUCUCGCUAGUUCUCGGCGGAGGGGAAAGUCCGGGCUGUUUCAGUGGAACCCGGGAAUGGGAGGCGCCUUAGCGUCCCCGCGGGCCUCAGCCUUGUGAAUCCUGCCUCCCCGACCUCCCCGAGGCUAGGGGUGUUCCGGCCUUUCCUGCUUAGGGGUCAGAGGUUAACAUGGAGUGUUUCUCAAUCGGUCUCCACCUUACAUUUUGAGACAUGACGUGUCACUGAACCUGGAGCUCACGGAUUCAACUAGACGGGGUAACCAGCAAGCCGUAGAGCUCCUCCCAUCUCUGCCUCCACAGCGAUGGGAUUCUACGCAUUUAGCACCAUGCCCAGGUAUGUGUGCCUGAGUUGCAAGUGCCCACUGAGUCCAGAAGAAAGUGUUGGCUCCCCUGGAACUGAAGUCGCAUGUGGUUGUGAGUCACCUGAUGUGGUUCUGAGAACUGUACUCAGGUCCUCUGCAACAGCAGCAAGGACUCUUAACUGCUAAGCUAUUUCUCCAGCCCAUUAUAUGUGUUUUGGACCCUGAAAUACAUCACAGUGACUUUUGUUUAGAUAACCAACUAUCUUCUUAAGAUAGUUACACAAAUAAAAGAUAUUUUGAAAAUU
Molecule: long non-coding RNA, 633 nt
Organism: Mesocricetus auratus (golden hamster)
Lineage: Eukaryota; Metazoa; Chordata; Mammalia; Rodentia; Cricetidae
Exons: 3
Source: RefSeq, a predicted model, not a curated record